GUCCUACGGGGGGCAGCAGUGGGGAAUAUUGCACAAUGGGGGAAACCCUGAUGCAGCAACGCCGCGUGAGUGAUGAAGUAUUUCGGUAUGUAAAGCUCUAUCAGCAGGGAAGAAGAUGACGGUACCUGAAUAAGAAGCCCCGGCUAACUACGUGCCAGCAGCCGCGGUAAUACGUAGGGGGCAAGCGUUAUCCGGAUUUACUGGGUGUAAAGGGAGCGCAGACGGCAGUGCAAGUCUGAAGUGAAAGCCCGG
This 252-nucleotide ribosomal RNA is filed under the name uncultured bacterium. RNAcentral's name for it is "partial 16S ribosomal RNA". It matches the Rfam family "Bacterial small subunit ribosomal RNA", at positions 335 to 605 of the family's 1533-position model. The record is from RNAcentral.